This 253-nucleotide ribosomal RNA is filed under the name uncultured bacterium. RNAcentral's name for it is "partial 16S ribosomal RNA". It matches the Rfam family "Bacterial small subunit ribosomal RNA", at positions 524 to 776 of the family's 1533-position model. The record is from RNAcentral.
UACGUAGGGUGCGAGCGUUAAUCGGAAUUAUUGGGCGUAAAGAGCGUGUAGGCGGCUUGGUAGGUCCGCUGUGAAAACUCGAGGCUCAACCUCGAGAUGUCGGCGGAAACCACUUGGCUAGAGUCCGGAAGAGGAGAGUGGAAUUCCUGGUGUAGCGGUGAAAUGCGCAGAUAUCAGGAAGAACACCUAUGGCGAAGGCAGCUCUCUGGGACGGUACUGACGCUGAGACGCGAAAGCGUGGGGAGCGAACAGG